This is a long non-coding RNA of Monodelphis domestica (gray short-tailed opossum), 1749 nucleotides long. Lineage: Eukaryota; Metazoa; Chordata; Mammalia; Didelphimorphia; Didelphidae. The record is from Ensembl.
AUUUUGUGAUGAGAAUAAGAAAGGGUUGUACCUUGUGAAAUUAAAAAAAAAUUAAUAUAAAAUGUAACUCUGUACUCCCGCAUGUGCAUUAAAUCAGGAUGCCACUAAGUCAUGUGACUACAGGGCUGAGGGGGUACCUGGAGUCCUGACUUCCGGAAGGGACUGGUAGAAGUCCUCAUGGGGUAGGUGACGUGUCUGCAAGUCAGGACUCGGGACCCAGACUGUCCAAUCAGAAAGCCCCUGUGGGAUUGACAUCAGGACCUUAUAAGAAAGGGGACUGAGUGGACUCUUGCUGGCUGGACAAGCCUCUUGCUCCUUUCUCUGGAGUGUGACACUGCUCUUGAGAGCCUUGGCUGGGAGCCGGAUCCAGGGAAGCAUAGUGUAGCUUGGAGACUUUCUUUAGUUAGGACAGCCUGGUGAUGGUUCUCUCUGUCUGUCUGUCUGUCUGUCUUCCUGUCUGUCUGUCUCCCUGUCUAUCUCAGUCUGUGUCUCUCUGUUUCUCUCUAUCUGUCUCUCUCUCUGUCUCCCUGUCUGUCUGUCUCCCUGUCUGUCUGUUUAUCUCCCUCUGUCUCUGUUUCUUCAUCUCUCUGUCUGUCCCCCUGUCUGUCUGUCUCUCUCUGUCUCUGUCUUCUCUCUCUGUCUCUGUUUCUCCAUCUCUCUCUCCCUCUAUCUCUCUCCCUGUCUCUGUGUCUCUCCCUCUGUUUCUCUCUCUCCAUCUCUGUCUUUUUGUCUGUCUCCCUCUCUGUCUGUCUCUGUUUCUCUCUCUCUCUCCAUCUCUCUGUCUCUCACUUUCGCUAAUAAAUAAUUAUAAAUUAAUUCUCCAAGGAAUUUUACUCAUUACAAAAGCCAGGGAAUCUAGGAGUAGAGAUGAAGAAGGAUAAUAGAAAUGAGCAAAUGAACUGUGGGGAGCAGCCAGAGAAAAUGCUUGGAGCCUGGAGAGAUUGUAUUGUUUUAGGAGCAACAAGGAAGUCAGGUUCACUGGAUUAGAGAGUAUGAGAGGGUGGAAGGUAUAAAAAGAUGAGAAAACGUAGGGCCAGCUGAGUGGCUCAGUGGAUGGAGAGUCAGGCCUGCAGACCAGAGGUCCUGGGUUCAAAUGACCUCCGACACUUCCUAGCUGUGUGGCCCUGGGCAAGUCACUUAAUCCCAAAUUGUCUAGCCCUUACCACUUCUGCUUUGGAAUUUAGCAUCAAUUCUAAAACAGAAGGUAAGAGUUAAAAAAAAAAAGAGAAAGAAGGGGUGGGGUCAGGUGGGGGAGGGAGCAAGGCUAUGAAGGGCUUUAAAUGCCCAAUAGAGAAUUUGAUAUUUUGUCUUGGAGGUGACAGGAAGACACUGAAAUUGACUGAAUAGGGAAAUGACAUGGUUAGAGUCCCACUUUGGGAAGGUCACGUUGACAGCUCAUUGGAAGAUGGAUGGCUGAGAUAAAAGAUGAGGCUGGGAGUAGCAGGCAACUGCAGUAGCACAGGUGUGAGGGGAUGAUGGCCUGAACCAGAGUGGUGGCUGUUUCAGAGGAGAUAAGGGAGUGUGUUUUAGAGAUGCCACUAAGGUGAAAUCUACAGGCCUUGGCAACAGAUUGGAUAUGGGAGAAUGAGAGAGAGUAAAGCAUCAAGGAAGACACCUUAAGUUUUGAGCCUCAGAGACUUCUACUCUGGUAAAUGUUAGCUCUCCAGAAACAAACAAACAAACAAACAAAAAGUCAAUCUCCACUGCCCCCAACCCCAAUAAAAUAAAAGAAAAAACAAAAAGUGUACA